This 265-nucleotide long non-coding RNA is filed under the name Vigna radiata. RNAcentral describes it as "long non-coding RNA (VRAD_LNC014329)". The record is from RNAcentral. Lineage: Eukaryota; Viridiplantae; Streptophyta; Magnoliopsida; Fabales; Fabaceae.
CUCUUUAUAUAGGCUUGAUUGGGCUUGGACUCUGAAUAUUCAGUUGAUAGAAUCUUUUAUCUUAUAUCUUCCAAAUAACUAAAAGAUUUAGAUAAUUAUAACAUUAUUUGGAAGAUAUUUUCUGUUGAUAUUUCCCAAUUAAAUUAAUUCAACAACUGAAUUUUAUCUUUUAGUUUUUCUGAUUUUCCAAAAUUACACAAAUACCCUGAAAUUUCCUCUAUCUGCGUUUUAGCCCCUUCCUUUCUUUUAAAAUUUGCAGAAAAAC